AUUAUAAUGGCAGAUUAAUGCGAAGAAGUUAAGUUUCUUAGAUGAAUUAUUUUCUUAUAAUA
RNAcentral lists this transfer RNA (62 nucleotides) under Brachycybe lecontii. Its description in RNAcentral is "tRNA-Leu". The record is from RNAcentral. Lineage: Eukaryota; Metazoa; Arthropoda; Diplopoda; Playtdesmida; Andrognathidae.